UACGAAGGGGGCUAGCGUUGCUCGGAAUUACUGGGCGUAAAGGGCGCGUAGGCGGCACUGUUAGUCAGGCGUGAAAGUCCUGGGCUCAACCUGGGAACUGCGCUUGAUACGGCAGAGCUAGAGGAUGGAAGAGGGUCGCGGAAUUCCCAGUGUAGAGGUGAAAUUCGUAGAUAUUGGGAAGAACACCGGUGGCGAAGGCGGCGACCUGGUCCAUUACUGACGCUGAGGCGCGACAGCGUGGGGAACAAACAGG
Molecule: ribosomal RNA, 253 nt
Filed under: uncultured bacterium
Lineage: Bacteria
Description: partial 16S ribosomal RNA
Rfam family: Bacterial small subunit ribosomal RNA
Source: RNAcentral